RNAcentral lists this ribosomal RNA (619 nucleotides) under uncultured fungus. Its description in RNAcentral is "eukaryotic LSU rRNA". It matches the Rfam family "Eukaryotic large subunit ribosomal RNA", at positions 16 to 649 of the family's 3401-position model. Lineage: Eukaryota; Fungi. The record is from RNAcentral.
UAGGGAUACCCGCUGAACUUAAGCAUAUCAAUAAGCGGAGGAAAAGAANNCANCAGGGAUUNCCUCAGUAACGGCGAGUGAAGCGGUAACAGCUCAAAUUUGAAAUCUGGCCCUUUUAGGGUCCGAGUUGUAAUUUGUAGAAGAUGCUUNGGGUGUGGUCCGGGUCUAAGUUCCUUGGANCAGGACGUCAUAGAGGGUGAGAAUCCCGUAUGUGACUCGGCGCCUUCGCCCGUGUAAAGCUCUUUCGACGAGUCGAGUUGUUUGGGAAUGCAGCUCAAAAUGGGUGGUAAGUUUCAUCUAAAGCUAAAUAUUGGCCAGAGACCGAUAGCGCACAAGUAGAGUGAUCGAAAGAUGAAAAGCACUUUGGAAAGAGAGUUAAACAGUACGUGAAAUUGUUGAAAGGGAAGCGCUUGCAACCAGACUUAGCUGCUGUCGAUCAUCCGGGGUUCUCCCCGGUGCACUCGGUAGCAUCUAGGCCAGCAUCGGUUUGGGUGGUGGGAUAAAGGCCUUGGGAAUGUAGCUUCUUUCGGGGAGUGUUAUAGCCCUCGGUGCAAUGCCGCCUACCCGGACCGAGGACCGCGCUUCGGCUAGGAUGCUGGCGUAAUGGUUGUAAGCGACC